Long non-coding RNA from Papaver somniferum (opium poppy), 402 nucleotides. RefSeq lists it as uncharacterized. Lineage: Eukaryota; Viridiplantae; Streptophyta; Magnoliopsida; Ranunculales; Papaveraceae. The record is from RefSeq and is a predicted model, not a curated record. The transcript is spliced from 3 exons.
CUUGGAGUUCCCUUAUAUCCGGGGAACAUGUCAAAACAAAUAUCUCGAAAGUUUGAUACGAUUCUCAAAAGAAAACCACAGUAACAGCCUUUCUCACCACUUUUAGUUUUGUUUGUGAACAGUUACAAAUAUCUAUUUAAUUGAGAAAGGAACCCGUUUUGGGUUUACAAAUGAAGGAGGUUUUGGCCGGGAUAAUAUUUGGAGUAUCUCUGCACUUUGGAAUUGUGCAACUAAACAUGACUUUCGUAAUGCUAGAAAACCAAAUAAGUAUUACGGAUGGCACUUGAUUAAUGUUUUUUUCAUUUAUUUUGAAUUUUCAAUUAUGAGUUGGUACUAAGUAUCUCAUUUCCUUUCUUUUUACUCUCGGAAGCUGAUUACUAUUAAUUAAUUGGUGGAGGAUUA